UCUCGUGUCAGUUCCGGGCUCUCCAGUGGCACAGUGGGCAGACCCUCGGGCUCCGGGUUCGAAUCCCUGUCCGCUCAACCUGACUCCUGAGAUCACCUCCUGCAGGUCGUCGUCGCACUGACUUACAGCUGCUAUUGAGUGUGUGAAGUAAUACUGUCCGACAUGUUCGCCCGGUGGUCGAGCAAUGCCGUAGCCAGGAUCUUGUGAAGGAGGUCCAGUGAAACCAUUACCUCAUAGUUUACGAGAAAGCCCCAAGCCACUGAAUUAUCAUUGAAAUAUCAUGAAAUAAAAAGGCAAAACAUUUAAUUUCAGUAACUAAUAUACAUAUAGCUAGUUACGUACAACAUUUUGAAAUUUAAGAGCUAGAAGAAAAUUCAAAAUAAGCUGAUACCAGAAGACUUGUGGCAUGGAAUAAAAUAAAGAAUGGGUGAUUUUUUUUCCGGUGGCCUUACAGUAACUUUAAUACAAACCAGCAUGUAUAUGUUUCUUAACGAGUUGUAUACAUCAAUAUUCCUGGGCUACAUGAAAACGUAUGUUUCUCUAGUCAAAUAUAUAUACCCUUCAUUAUAUUACUUUAGUUAGCACACAAAGCCUUAUCAUUUGAGAGAAAAUGUAUCGUCUGAUAUAAAAGACAGAAUCGAAACAUAAGACUAUAUAAUAUAUAAGUAAAAAAAUAAAAUAAAAUAAAUCCGAGAAUGAAAGUCCGCAAGUUCAUACUGCAGUUCUUAAUAUACCCUAUGAAAAACAUUCUUUUCUUGCAAAAGAAGUAUUUGAACAUCAUUCGUACCAAAAAAAAAAAAUAUUAAUUUAGCAGUAUCUCAUCAUUUGCUUGGAGAAAUUAUGUCACAAACAGUGAUGCGAACAGCCAGACACGCCCAUCAGUAAUCACAUUUAUGCAGGCAAUAAGACACGUGUAAAGUAAACACGAAGAAGGUUACACGUAAUACUAAGUAUAUUUUACAAGCUUAUACAGUAAUUAGCUUAACCAUUCAUUAAAUACUUAUUUUUAAAAAUGCUCACGUUAAAAGUAAUGUGAAAAAAAAGCUCUAAAAUAUAUACCAGAAUUUAUAUUUUUGAUACUGCAUGGAACCUUUGCAUGCUUUGUUUCUUUAUCACACCUAAUCUGGAUCAAAACAAACAGGGUUUAAAAAAUCUGCUAUAGAUAUAGAACCAACAGAUCAUAAAGGUUCUAUGUUUCCGUAAUACAUAAAUAAAAUUAAUUAAUUCCAUAAGUGUACAUCUAAAUCACUAAUGAUUACUGAAAGUGCGUAAUACUUAGUAGCACUACACAAAAAUUUAAAUUACAACCAAGAUCAUUCACAACCAACUAAAACGUUACCUAGACCUUAAAUGUAAGAAGAAUAUAUUAAGUUAAAACAUAAUUUAUGUAAAAAAAUUAUGUUUAUAGAAUACAUGUAGAACACUAUCAACUACCAUUCUGUCUGAGUAAAUGACUAUGCAAGAAUUGUAAUCAAUACUAAUAAUAUGAUCGUUUAGUGUAAACAGUCUGUAAAUUGCAUGGAUUAAAAAAAAAUAAUGGAAACGGAUAUCAACAUUAUUU
Molecule: long non-coding RNA, 1561 nt
Organism: Bacillus rossius redtenbacheri
Lineage: Eukaryota; Metazoa; Arthropoda; Insecta; Phasmatodea; Bacillidae
Exons: 3
Source: RefSeq, a predicted model, not a curated record